GGGCUAUUAGCUCAGUUGGAUAGAGCGUUGGCCUCCGGAGCCAAAGGCCGCAGGUUCGACUCCUGCAUAGCCCGCCA
RNAcentral lists this transfer RNA (77 nucleotides) under Desulfovibrio psychrotolerans. RNAcentral describes it as "tRNA-Arg". It matches the Rfam family "tRNA". Rfam says of the family: Transfer RNA (tRNA) molecules are approximately 80 nucleotides in length. Their secondary structure includes four short double-helical elements and three loops (D, anti-codon, and T loops). Lineage: Bacteria; Pseudomonadati; Thermodesulfobacteriota; Desulfovibrionia; Desulfovibrionales; Desulfovibrionaceae. The record is from RNAcentral. RNAcentral also lists the same sequence under 1 other name.